AUUAGGAAGGUAAAGUAUGGGGAAGGAGUGGGGAAGGGUGCAUAGUGUCCCAGGCACACGGAACAGUAUCUACAAAAGCUCAAAGGGGCUCAGAGAGGAUUGAAACUGAUAGUCUGGCUGGAGAGUCAUGUACAAGGGGAUGGAAGGCUGAGAGAUGAGGCUGGCAAGGUGAAUCCCAUUCUCAUUUUUGCAGUAUCCAAGAGCUGGAUGCCUACAUGAUGCAGUC
RNAcentral lists this long non-coding RNA (226 nucleotides) under Homo sapiens (human). RNAcentral's name for it is "HSALNT0381740". The record is from RNAcentral. Lineage: Eukaryota; Metazoa; Chordata; Mammalia; Primates; Hominidae.